Molecule: ribosomal RNA, 816 nt
Filed under: Pseudoramibacter alactolyticus
Lineage: Bacteria; Bacillati; Bacillota; Clostridia; Eubacteriales; Eubacteriaceae
Description: bacterial SSU rRNA
Rfam family: Bacterial small subunit ribosomal RNA
Source: RNAcentral
AGAGUUCGAUCCUGGCUCAGGACGAACGCUGGCGGUAUGCUUAACACAUGCAAGUCGAACGAGAAGUUUUUUAUUGACCCUUCGGGGGAUAUAAGAGACAGACAGUGGCGAACGGGUGAGUAACGCGUGGGCAACCUACCUAUCGGAGCGGGAUAGCCUCGAGAAAUCGGGAGUAAAACCGCAUAACACAGCAGAAUCGCAUGACUUUGCUGUCAAAACUCCGGUGCCGAUAGAUGGGCCCGCGUCUGAUUAGCUAGUUGGUAAGGUAAGGGCUUACCAAGGCAACGAUCAGUAGCCGGUCUGAGAGGGCGAACGGCCACACUGGAACUGAGACACGGUCCAGACUCCUACGGGAGGCAGCAGUGGGGAAUAUUGCGCAAUGGGGGCAACCCUGACGCAGCAAUACCGCGUGAGUGAAGAAGGUUUUCGGAUCGUAAAGCUCUGUUAUUGGGGAAGAAGCAGUGACGGUACCCAAUGAGGAAGUCCCGGCUAACUACGUGCCAGCAGCCGCGGUAAUACGUAGGGGACGAGCGUUGUCCGGAAUCACUGGGCGUAAAGGGCGCGUAGGCGGUUUUAUAAGUCAGAUGUGAAAGGUACCGGCUCAACCGGUGACGUGCAUUUGAAACUGUAAGACUUGAGUACUGAAGAGGCAAGCGGAAUUCCUAGUGUAGCGGUGAAAUGCGUAGAUAUUAGGAAGAACACCGGUGGCGAAGGCGGCUUGCUGGGCAGAUACUGACGCUGAGGUGCGAAAGCGUGGGGAGCGAACAGGAUUAGAUACCCUGGUAGUCCACGCCGUAAACGAUGAGUGCUAGGUGU